This 497-nucleotide ribosomal RNA is filed under the name uncultured bacterium. Its description in RNAcentral is "partial 16S ribosomal RNA". It matches the Rfam family "Bacterial small subunit ribosomal RNA", at positions 28 to 507 of the family's 1533-position model. The record is from RNAcentral.
GAUGAACGCUGGCGGCGUGCCUAAUACAUGCAAGUCGAGCGAACAGAUGAGGAGCCUGCUCCUCUGACGUUAGCGGCGGACGGGUGAGUAACACGUGGAUAACCUACCUAUAAGACUGGGAUAACUUCGGGAAACCGGAGCUAAUACCGGAUAAUAUAUUGAACCGCAUGGUUCAAUAGUGAAAGACGGUUUUGCUGUCACUUAUAGAUGGAUCCGCGCCGCAUUAGCUAGUUGGUAAGGUAACGGCUUACCAAGGCGACGAUGCGUAGCCGACCUGAGAGGGUGAUCGGCCACACUGGAACUGAGACACGGUCCAGACUCCUACGGGAGGCAGCAGUAGGGAAUCUUCCGCAAUGGGCGAAAGCCUGACGGAGCAACGCCGCGUGAGUGAUGAAGGUCUUCGGAUCGUAAAACUCUGUUAUUAGGGAAGAACAAAUGUGUAAGUAACUAUGCACGUCUUGACGGUACCUAAUCAGAAAGCCACGGCUAACUACGUG